Molecule: long non-coding RNA, 451 nt
Organism: Phlebotomus papatasi
Lineage: Eukaryota; Metazoa; Arthropoda; Insecta; Diptera; Psychodidae
Exons: 3
Source: RefSeq, a predicted model, not a curated record
ACAAGUUAUUAGAAAUAAUUAGUUGAGUGCACUAAAAAUGAAAAUGUUUGUGAAGUUCUUUUUUGUGUCAGUUAUCUUGGCAGUUUUCUUAUUGCAUUCUGCAGAAUGUAAAUACAGAAUGCAACGAUCAGUCAUGCAAAGUGCUGCUGACACAAUAACCCAAAUCAUGCAGUCGGAUUUAGUUGCCGCCCUUAGGACUUUUAUAGUGGGUUUUAUGAAAAACCUUAUGAAGUGCAUGUUACACAAAAAUUCAGGCGGAAUUACUCAAAGUUCGAAUUCCGAAAAUCACCAUUAAGGGCUGAAAAAAUUGGAUAUGCCAAAUUUUUGGAAAGAGCAAGCAUAGUUUCAUGGACAGAAUAUAUCUAAAAAUGCAGAAAAAUGCUUAAUGACGGAUCCAUCACCUUAUGUAUAUUUAAACAAAGGUUGAAGAAUAAAAUCAAGAACAUAGAAA